CCUACGGGUGGCAGCAGUGGGGAAUAUUGCACAAUGGGCGAAAGCCUGAUGCAGCAAAGCCGCGUGAGUGAUGAAGGCCUUCGGGUCGUAAAGCUCUGUCCUCAAGGAAGAUAAUGACGGUACUUGAGGAGGAAGCGCCCGCUAACUACGUGACAGCAGCCGCGGUAAUACGUAGGGGGCUAGCGUUAUCCGGAAGUACUGGGCGUAAAGGGUGCGUAGGUGGGUUAUUAAGUCAGAGGUGAAAGGGUACGGCUCAACCGUAGUAAGCCGUUGAAACUGAGGAACUUGAGUGCAGGAGAGGAGAGUGGAAUUCGUAGUGUAGCGGUGAAAUGCGUAGAUAUUAGGAGGAACACCAGUUGCGAAGGCAGCACUCCGGACUGUAACUGACACUGAGGCACGAAAGCGUGGGGAGCAAACAGGAUUAGAUACCCCAGUAGUC
This 439-nucleotide ribosomal RNA is filed under the name uncultured bacterium. RNAcentral's name for it is "partial 16S ribosomal RNA". It matches the Rfam family "Bacterial small subunit ribosomal RNA", at positions 338 to 795 of the family's 1533-position model. The record is from RNAcentral.